UUAAGCGACUAAGCGUACACGGUGGAUGCCCUGGCAGUCAGAGGCGAUGAAGGACGUGCUAAUCUGCGAAAAGCGUCGGUAAGGUGAUAUGAACCGUUACAGCCGGCGAUGUCCGAAUGGGGAAACCCAGUGUGAUUCGUCACACUAUCGUUAACUGAAUACAUAGGUUAACGAGGCGAACCGGGGGAACUGAAACAUCUAAGUACCCCGAGGAAAAGAAAUCAACCGAGAUUCCCCCAGUAGCGGCGAGCGAACGGGGAGCAGCCCAGAGUCUGAAUCAGCUUGUGUGUUAGUGGAACGGUCUGGAAAGUCCGACGGUACAGGGUGAUAGUCCCGUACACCAAAAUGCACAGGCUGUGAACUCGAAGAGUAGGGCGGGACACGUGGUAUCCUGUCUGAAUAUGGGGGGACCAUCCUCCAAGGCUAAAUACUCCUGACUGACCGAUAGUGAACCAGUACCGUGAGGGAAAGGCGAAAAGAACCCCGGCGAGGGGAGUGAAAAAGAACCUGAAACCGUGUACGUACAAGCAGUGGGAGCACCUUCGGGUGUGACUGCGUACCUUUUGUAUAAUGGGUCAGCGACUUAUAUUCUGUAGCAAGGUUAACCGUAUAGGGGAGCCGCAGGGAAACCGAGUCUUAACUGGGCGUUAAGUUGCAGGGUAUAGACCCGAAACCCGGUGAUCUAGCCAUGGGCAGGUUGAAGGUUGGGUAACACUAACUGGAGGACCGAACCGACUAAUGUUGAAAAAUUAGCGGAUGACUUGUGGCUGGGGGUGAAAGGCCAAUCAAACCGGGAGAUAGCUGGUUCUCCCCGAAAGCUAUUUAGGUAGCGCCUCGUGAAUUCAUCUUCGGGGGUAGAGCACUGUUUCGGCUAGGGGGUCAUCCCGACUUACCAACCCGAUGCAAACUACGAAUACCGAAGAAUGUUAUCACGGGAGACACACGGCGGGUGCUAACGUCCGUCGUGAAGAGGGAAACAACCCAGACCGCCAGCUAAGGUCCCAAAGUCACAGUUAAGUGGGAAACGAUGUGGGAAGGCACAGACAGCCAGGAUGUUGGCUUAGAAGCAGCCAUCAUUUAAAGAAAGCGUAAUAGCUCACUGGUCGAGUCGGCCUGCGCGGAAGAUGUAACGGGGCUAAACUGUGCACCGAAGCUGCGGCAGCGACACUAUGUGUUGUUGGGUAGGGGAGCGUUCUGUAAGCCUGCGAAGGUGGCCUGUGAGGGUUGCUGGAGGUAUCAGAAGUGCGAAUGCUGACAUAAGUAACGAUAAUGCGGGUGAAAAGCCCGCACGCCGGAAGACCAAGGGUUCCUGUCCAACGUUAAUCGGGGCAGGGUGAGUCGACCCCUAAGGCGAGGCCGAAAGGCGUAGUCGAUGGGAAACAGGUUAAUAUUCCUGUACUUGGUGUUACUGCGAAGGGGGGACGGAGAAGGCUAUGUUAGCCGGGCGACGGUUGUCCCGGUUUAAGCAUGUAGGCGGAGGUUCCAGGUAAAUCCGGUACCUUUUUAACGCUGAGGUGUGAUGACGAGGCACUACGGUGCUGAAGUAACAAAUGCCCUGCUUCCAGGAAAAGCCUCUAAGCAUCAGGUAACAUUAAAUCGUACCCCAAACCGACACAGGUGGUCAGGUAGAGAAUACCAAGGCGCUUGAGAGAACUCGGGUGAAGGAACUAGGCAAAAUGGUGCCGUAACUUCGGGAGAAGGCACGCUGAUAUGUAGGUGAAGCCCCUGCGGGUGGAGCUGAAAUCAGUCGAAGAUACCAGCUGGCUGCAACUGUUUAUUAAAAACACAGCACUGUGCAAACACGAAAGUGGACGUAUACGGUGUGACGCCUGCCCGGUGCCGGAAGGUUAAUUGAUGGGGUUAUCCGUAAGGAGAAGCUCUUGAUCGAAGCCCCGGUAAACGGCGGCCGUAACUAUAACGGUCCUAAGGUAGCGAAAUUCCUUGUCGGGU
RNAcentral lists this ribosomal RNA (1950 nucleotides) under human gut metagenome. RNAcentral's name for it is "bacterial LSU rRNA". It matches the Rfam family "Bacterial large subunit ribosomal RNA", at positions 1 to 1977 of the family's 2925-position model. The record is from RNAcentral.